This is a long non-coding RNA of Fundulus heteroclitus (mummichog), 377 nucleotides long. RefSeq lists it as uncharacterized. NCBI's taxonomy places the organism in Eukaryota, Metazoa, Chordata, Actinopteri, Cyprinodontiformes, Fundulidae. The transcript has 3 exons. The record is from RefSeq and is a predicted model, not a curated record.
UGGCAGGGUCCUAAAAGACGCGCACCCUAAUCUGCCUCGGCAAGCCAAAAUCGGAGCUCAGCACAUUUAUUUGUUUCAUGCAGAUGUUGGAUAUUGCAAAGAAAUAGGUUUUGUUCAUGUGGAGACCACAGGACAGGGAAACUGCAACACCUGCUCUUCAGAUGCACCAGAACGAACCUAAACCAACAGCUGGAUCUUUGGCCGACAAGACGCCUAAUGACUGAGUUGGGACAGCGGAAGGACGCUGGCUUGAUUAGGCCCUUAAUCUCCUGAGAUUGAGACAUUAAAGCAUGGGAGUGAUGUACUCACACGAAUUGGCACAGUGUCACACUGAACCAGGGGAAGACUCAUCUGCCACAGGAGUGCCAGAGCACACU